GUUAAAAAGCUCGUAGUUGGAUUUCUGUCAGUGAGUUGCAGUCCGCCCACAGCGGUUGGUACUUGCUACGCCACUGGCAUCUUCCUGGGGAAUGUGUCUGCUCUUUAUUGAGUGGCGCACAAUCCAGGACUUUUACUUUGAAGAAAUGAGAGUGUUUCAAGCAGGCAUGCGCCGUGAAUACGUUAGCAUGGGAUAAUAGCAUCGGACCUCGUUCCAAAGCUGUUGGUUUCUUGGACCGAGGUAAAGGUGAAUAGGGAUUGUUGGGGGCAUUCGUAUUUGACUGUCAGAGGUGAAAUUCUUGGAUUUGUUGAAGACGGACUACUGCGAAAGCAUCUGCCAAAGAUGUUCUCAUUGAUCAAGAACGAAAGUUAGGUGAUCGAAGACGAUCAGAUACCGUCCUAGUCUUAACCAUAAACUAUGCCGACUGGAGAUCGGGGGUCGUUAAUUACGUGACGCCCUCUGCAUCUUGAGAGAAAUCAAAGUCUUUGGGUUCCGGGGGGAGUAUGGUCGCAAGGCUGAAACUUAAAGGAAUUGACGGAAGGGCACCACCAGGAGUGGAGCCUGCGGCUUAAUUUGACUCAACACGGGGAAACUUACCAGGUCCAGACAUAGUAAGGAUUGACAGACUGAUAGCUCUUUCGAGAUUCUAUGGGUGGUGGUGCAUGGCCGUUCUUAGUUGGUGGAGUGAUUUGUCUGGUUAAUUCCGUU
RNAcentral lists this ribosomal RNA (708 nucleotides) under uncultured marine alveolate. RNAcentral's name for it is "SSU rRNA". It matches the Rfam family "Eukaryotic small subunit ribosomal RNA", at positions 618 to 1329 of the family's 1831-position model. The record is from RNAcentral.